RNAcentral lists this ribosomal RNA (566 nucleotides) under uncultured bacterium. Its description in RNAcentral is "partial 16S ribosomal RNA". It matches the Rfam family "Bacterial small subunit ribosomal RNA", at positions 355 to 914 of the family's 1533-position model. The record is from RNAcentral.
UGGGGAAUUUUGGACAAUGGGGGAAACCCUGAUCCAGCCAUCCCGCGUGUGCGAUGAAGGCCUUCGGGUUGUAAAGCACUUUUGGCAGGAAAGAAACGUCGCGGGUUAAUACCCCGCGGAACUGACGGUACCUGCAGAAUAAGCACCGGCUAACUACGUGCCAGCAGCCGCGGUAAUACGUAGGGUGCAAGCGUUAAUCGGAAUUACUGGGCGUAAAGCGUGCGCAGGCGGUUCGGAAAGGAAAGAUGUGAAAUCCCAGAGCUUAACUUUGGAACUGCAUUUUUAACUACCGGGCUAGAGUGUGUCAGAGGGAGGUGGAAUUCCGCGUGUAGCAGUGAAAUGCGUAGAUAUGCGGAGGAACACCGAUGGCGAAGGCAGCCUCCUGGGAUAACACUGACGCUCAUGCACGAAAGCGUGGGGAGCAAACAGGAUUAGAUACCCUGGUAGUCCACGCCCUAAACGAUGUCAACUAGCUGUUGGGGUCUUCGGACCUUGGUAGCGCAGCUAACGCGUGAAGUUACCGCCUGGGGAGUACGGUCGCAAGAUUAAAACUCAAAGGAAUUGAC